GUUAAAAACUGAUAAGAAAUAUGCUAUAUAUGCUAUUAAAAAACCCCUACAGCUUCCAGGAUUCUAUAGCCUUGAGCAUUUGGUGGCAUCUUCAUACCCCAAUUAAUUUCAAUGCAACCUUUUUGGUUCUAGGUUUUUCCUGCCUGGACUUUGGCUCAGCCCCGGUUCCGUGUCCGGAAGGUACCUUCCGUCCUCUGGAAAGUCUCCCUCCGCAUCGAUGUUUGCGUUGCCCCGUGGAUUUCUUCAACGACAAACCCGGACAGUCGGCUUGCUUUCCAUGCGGCUCCGAAGCCGUCCAACCCAAAGAAGGCCAAAAGCUUUGCAAAUGCCUUCGGGAAGGUCGGAUUUUCCAGCCUAGCGAUGCUCAAUGCCCAUGCGCUCCUGGGUAUAAAAACCCGGCCAACGACAGGAGAUGGGACUGCGUGAAGGAAGUGUACGACAUCUGCCGGGACGGAGCGGUCAGAAACCAAGAACGAGCGUGCUUGACAAAAGAAGGAUGGACACAAUAUUGCACAGACAAGGUGCUGCAAAUGGAAGGGUCCAUACGGGUUUGGAGCCUUGGUAGAACUAGAUCUCACUCUGGUCUCGCCUCUGCUAGGUUUGCAGUCGUCCUCAAGACUUCCAGGGAUACGACAGAGUCCUCGGCCUUUGCCUUUGCCAAGCGGAGCGUCUGGACAGCGUCUGCGAUGACCGGUGUAGACGGCGGCAAAGGAACACCUUGCAGUUGGUCUGUGACCAUGAACGGCCUCGUCUCUUGGUGACUUACAGAAAUGGGAGCCAGAUCAGAGUCAUGCCACACGGCGGACAGUGUUACGACGAGGGGCCCUUCUUCCCAAUGACUCCUCGGCACGUCAUCCAAGUGGGAAUUGCGCCGAUCCCGGAUCUCGUCCUGAAACCUGAUUGGCAAGCAAUCGUUGGGAUCAUCGUUGGACUUCUCUUCCUCCUCCUCCUCUGCCUCCUAGCAAUUGUGAGUAAAUGGAAGGCUAAUAAUAAUAAUAUACUUUAUUUAUAUUCCACUCUAUCUCAAGAUAGAACUUCAACACGGAUUUACCAAAAACAAGUCAUGCCAGACUAAUCUGAUCUCUUUUUUCGAUAGAGUUACGAGUUGGGUCGAUACAGGGAAUGCUGUGGAUGUAGCGUACCUGGAUUUCAGUAAGGCCUUCGACAAAGUCCCCCACGACCUUCUGGCAAACAAACUAGUAAAAUGUGGGCUAGACAAAACUACGGUGAGGUGGAUCUGUAAUUGGCUAAGCGAACGAACCCAAAGGGUGCUCACCAAUGCGUUGUCUUCAUCAUGGAAAGAAGUGACAAGUGGAGUGCCACAAGCAGGGCUCCGUCCUGGGCCCGGUUCUGUUCAGGAUCUUUAUUAACGACUUAGACGAAGGGUUAGAAGGCACGAUCAUCAAGUUUGCAGACGACACAAAACUGGGAGGGAUAGCUAACACUCCAGAAGACAGGAGCAGAAUCCAAAACGAUCUUGACAGACUAGAGAGAUGGGCCGAAACUAACAAAAUGAAGUUCAACAGGGACAAAUGCAAGAGACUUCACUUCGGCAGAAAAAAUGGAAAUCAAAGAUACAGAAUGGGGGACGAUGCCUGGCUUGACAGCAGUGUGUGCGAAAAAGACCUUGGAGUCCUCGUGGACAACAAGUUAAACAUGAGCCAACAAUGUGAUGGGGCUGCUAAAAAAGCCAAUGGGAUUCUGGCCUCAUUAAUAGGGGAAUAGCGUCUAGAUCCAGGGAAGUUAUGCUCCCCCUCUAUUCUGCCUUGGUCAGACCACACCUGGAAUACUGUGUCCAAUUUUGGGCACCACAGUUGAAGGGAGAUGUUGACAAGCUGGAAAGCGUCCAGAGGAGGGCGACUAAAAUGAUUAAGGGUCUGGAGAACAAGCCCUAUGAGGAGCGGCUUAAAGAGCUGGGCAUGUUUAGCCUGCAGAAGAGAAGGCUGAGAGGAGACAUGAUAGCCAUGUACAAAUAUGUGAAGGGAAGUCGUAGGGAGGAGGGAGCAAGCUUGUUUUCUGCUGCCCUGCAGACUAGGACGCAAGGAACAAGGCUCAAACUACAGGACGGAAGGAGAUCACCUGAACAUCAGGAAGAACUUCCUCACUGUGAGAAGGGCUGUUCGACAGUGGAACUCUCUCCCGGGGCCGUGGUGGAGGCUCCUUCCUUGGAGGCUUUUAAGCAGAGGCUGGAUGGCCAUCUGUCGGGGGUGCUUUGAAUGCGAUUUCCUGCUUCUUAGCAGGGGGUUGGACUAGAUGGCCCAUGUGGUCUCUUCCAACUCUACUAUUCUAUGAUUCUAUGAUUCUAUGACUCUGGCAGAAACCAGUGCAGGUGGUCCCUGUGGCGAUCGGCACAUUGGGUGCUGUGCCAAAAGAUCUCAGCCGGCAUUUGGAAACAAUAGACAUUGACAAAAUUAUGAUUUGCCAACUGCAAAAGGCCACCCUGCUGGGAUCUGCACGCAUCAUCCGAAAAUACAUCACAGAGUCCUAGACACUUGGGAAGUGUUCGACUUGUGAUUCUGUGAUACGAAAUCCAGCAUACCGUGUUUCCCUGAAAAUAAGACAGCGUCUUAUAUUUAUUGUUGCUCCCAAAGAUGUGCUAGGUCUUAUUUUCAGGGGAUGUCUUAUUUUCCAUGAAGAAGAAUUCACAUUUAUUGUUGAACAAAAAAUGAACAUUUAUUAUAUACUGUACAGUAGUUGUCAUCACAAACCAGCAUAACCAGACAAACUGUGAAUCCUAUCAAGAAUUUCUUGUUAUUACCAUUAUUUCCAUGUACAACUGGUAUGUACAUUUACCAAUCCUGAAUGCUCUGGUGUUCUGUUUGGCAGGCACUGGGCAUGAUUCCAAACAAAAACUUUGCUAGGUCUUACUUUCGGGGAGGCCUUAUAUUUAGCAAUUCAGCAAAACUUCUACUAGGUCUUAUUUUUCGGGGAUGUCUUAUUUUAGGGGAAACAGGGUAUCUAUUUUGUUUGCUGUGUCAUACAAUAAAAUAAUAAUAUACUUUAUUUAUAUCCCUCUCUAUCUCCCUGAGGGGACUCAGGGUGGAUUACAGAACACAAGCAUUCAAUGCCAUUAUGCAAUUAACAAGGACAGACAAUACACAAACAGAGGUAAAGGCAUUUCCCAUCUUAUUUCCGGCAUCUUGGAUGCUGUGCUCAACUCCGGCCACAGGACAGUGCUGUCGUUCCAUUUUCCAUGCCGAAGAGCUUUUGUCGUCCUUAGACAUCCUCCCAAUCUAUGUCCUUAAGAGGGUCUUUUUUAUUACUGCCCCACUAAAAACGGUACCUAUUUAUCUACUCACAUUUCUGCUUUUGAUCCGCUAGGUGGGCAGGGAGUUGGAGCUGAGGGUGGGUGCUCACCCCGACCCGGGCAAAGAACUGCCGACCUUUCAAUCGGCAGAAUUUUCUGCAGCUAACUGUGUUUAAUCCGGCCUAACACAACGACCCCAUACUCUCCAACUAUCCUC
RNAcentral lists this long non-coding RNA (3464 nucleotides) under Anolis carolinensis (green anole). RNAcentral's name for it is "lncRNA (ENSACAG00000028989.2)". Lineage: Eukaryota; Metazoa; Chordata; Lepidosauria; Squamata; Anolidae. The record is from RNAcentral.